This 495-nucleotide ribosomal RNA is filed under the name uncultured bacterium. Its description in RNAcentral is "partial 16S ribosomal RNA". It matches the Rfam family "Bacterial small subunit ribosomal RNA", at positions 28 to 507 of the family's 1533-position model. The record is from RNAcentral.
GAUGAACGCUGGCGGCGUGCUUAACACAUGCAAGUCGAACGAAGCACCUCUCCCGAAGGUUGACACAGCUUGCUGUAGAUUGAUUCAUUUGAGGUGACUGAGUGGCGGACGGGUGAGUAACGCUUGGGUAACCUGCCUCAUAGAGGGGGACAACAGUUGGAAACGACUGCUAAUACCGCAUAGUAAGAAGAAUUCGCAUGUUUUAUUCUUGAAAGAUUUAUCGCUAUGAGAUGGACCCGCGUCUGAUUAGCUAGUUGGUAAGGUAACGGCUUACCAAGGCGACGAUCAGUAGCCGGCUUGAGAGAGUGAACGGCCACACUGGGACUGAGACACGGCCCAAACUCCUACGGGAGGCAGCAGUGGGGAAUAUUGCACAAUGGGGGAAACCCUGAUGCAGCGACGCCGCGUGAGUGAAGAAGUAUUUCGGUAUGUAAAGCUCUAUCAGCAGGGAAGAUAAUGACGGUACCUGACUAAGAAGCCCCGGCUAACUACGUG